Molecule: ribosomal RNA, 1332 nt
Filed under: uncultured bacterium
Lineage: Bacteria
Description: bacterial SSU rRNA
Rfam family: Bacterial small subunit ribosomal RNA
Source: RNAcentral
GACGAACGCUGGCGGCGCGCCUAACACAUGCAAGUCGAACGAGAGAUGAGGAGCUUGCUCUUCAAAUCGAGUGGCGAACGGGUGAGUAACGCGUGAGGAACCUGCCUCAAAGAGGGGGACAACAGUUGGAAACGACUGCUAAUACCGCAUAAGCCCACGGCUCGGCAUCGAGCAGAGGGAAAAGGAGCAAUCCGCUUUGAGAUGGCCUCGCGUCCGAUUAGCUGGUUGGUGAGGUAACGGCCCACCAAGGCGACGAUCGGUAGCCGGACUGAGAGGUUGAACGGCCACAUUGGGACUGAGACACGGCCCAGACUCCUACGGGAGGCAGCAGUGGGGAAUAUUGCACAAUGGGGGAAACCCUGAUGCAGCGACGCCGCGUGGAGGAAGAAGGUCUUCGGAUUGUAAACUCCUGUUGUUGAGGAAGAUAAUGACGGUACUCAACAAGGAAGUGACGGCUAACUACGUGCCAGCAGCCGCGGUAAAACGUAGGUCACAAGCGUUGUCCGGAAUUACUGGGUGUAAAGGGAGCGCAGGCGGGAGAACAAGUUGGAAGUGAAAUCCAUGGGCUCAACCCAUGAACUGCUUUCAAAACUGUUUUUCUUGAGUAGUGCAGAGGUAGGCGGAAUUCCCGGUGUAGCGGUGGAAUGCGUAGAUAUCGGGAGGAACACCAGUGGCGAAGGCGGCCUACUGGGCACCAACUGACGCUGAGGCUCGAAAGUGUGGGUAGCAAACAGGAUUAGAUACCCUGGUAGUCUACACCGUAAACGAUGAUUACUAGGUGUUGGAGGAUUGACCCCUUCAGUGCCGCAGUUAACACAAUAAGUAAUCCACCUGGGGAGUACGACCGCAAGGUUGAAACUCAAAGGAAUUGACGGGGGCCCGCACAAGCAGUGGAGUAUGUGGUUUAAUUCGACGCAACGCGAAGAACCUUACCAAGUCUUGACAUCCCUUGACGAACAUAGAAAUAUGUUUUCUCUUCGGAGCAAGGAGACAGGUGGUGCAUGGUUGUCGUCAGCUCGUGUCGUGAGAUGUUGGGUUAAGUCCCGCAACGAGCGCAACCCUUAUGGUCAGUUACUACGCAAGAGGACUCUGGCCAGACUGCCGUUGACAAAACGGAGGAAGGUGGGGAUGACGUCAAAUCAUCAUGCCCUUUAUGACUUGGGCUACACACGUACUACAAUGGCGUUAAACAAAGAGAAGCAAGACCGCGAGGUGGAGCAAAACUCAGAAACAACGUCCCAGUUCGGACUGCAGGCUGCAACUCGCCUGCACGAAGUCGGAAUUGCUAGUAAUCGUGGAUCAGCAUGCCACGGUGAAUACGUUCCCGGGCCU